This 425-nucleotide ribosomal RNA is filed under the name uncultured bacterium. RNAcentral's name for it is "partial 16S ribosomal RNA". It matches the Rfam family "Bacterial small subunit ribosomal RNA", at positions 354 to 796 of the family's 1533-position model. The record is from RNAcentral.
GUGGGGAAUAUUGGACAAUGGGCGAAAGCCUGAUCCAGCCAUGCCGCGUGAGUGAUGAAGGCCUUAGGGUUGUAAAGCUCUUUUGUCCGGGAAGAUAAUGACUGUACCGGAAGAAUAAGCCCCGGCUAACUUCGUGCCAGCAGCCGCGGUAAUACGAAGGGGGCUAGCGUUGCUCGGAAUCACUGGGCGUAAAGGGCGCGUAGGCGGACUUUUAAGUCGGAGGUGAAAGCCCAGGGCUCAACCCUGGAAUUGCCUUCGAUACUGGGAGUCUUGAGUUCGGAAGAGGUUGGUGGAACUGCGAGUGUAGAGGUGAAAUUCGUAGAUAUUCGCAAGAACACCGGUGGCGAAGGCGGCCAACUGGUCCGAAACUGACGCUGAGGCGCGAAAGCGUGGAGAGCAAACAGGAUUAGAUACCCGAGUAGUCC